Molecule: long non-coding RNA, 593 nt
Organism: Rhipicephalus sanguineus (brown dog tick)
Lineage: Eukaryota; Metazoa; Arthropoda; Arachnida; Ixodida; Ixodidae
Exons: 3
Source: RefSeq, a predicted model, not a curated record
UAGAAUAAUGACGCUACUUUUCACGGAAUCGCGAAUUUAUAUAGAUGAUAAAGGUUACGACUGGAAUCGAGAGUCUCUACCUUGUCCCGCCAUUUCAAAACCUUUAAAUUGUAUCUGAACAUAUGCUUUAUUAUUCUGUAUGUCAUCUGUCUGUAAGUAUGGUUUCAUAGUGUUUCUUUCUCUAUUUCAGGACCUAUUUACAUAUGUUAUGCUAUUUUAUAUGACAUCGCUCACUCAUUAUUUAUUGGUGUUUCACGUUUUCCUCACACAGGAAAAAGAGCAUUACGUGAAUAGUCCUUGAAAUAGCUAUUCAUACAAUGCUCCUUUUUUUCUUUUUCCUGUUUUUUUUUUUUUACUCUAUGAUCUGCGUAUACGUACGCAUAACCAAUGUGACACAACAAAGUCAUCGAGGCUGUUUCUGAGGGAUAAAGAUCGAAAAUUGAUUUAAUAUUAUUAACUACCGAGUUACGAAGUUUUUUUUUUGUUUUUUAACUGUUCGAUUUUCCGAAAUAUUCAGUCCAGAAAUGGCCUAAAUACCAAAGUUUCCAGCGGGAGGUGCGCUUGCUCCAGAUUUAAAUCUACGGGGCGCGCCU